Molecule: ribosomal RNA, 440 nt
Filed under: uncultured bacterium
Lineage: Bacteria
Description: bacterial SSU rRNA
Rfam family: Bacterial small subunit ribosomal RNA
Source: RNAcentral
AUUCGAUGCAACGCGAAGAACCUUACCAAAUCUUGACAUCCUCUGACCCCUCUAGAGAUAGAGUUUUUCCCUUCGGGGGACAGAGUGACAGGUGGUGCAUGGUUGUCGUCAGCUCGUGUCGUGAGAUGUUGGGUUAAGUCCCGCAACGAGCGCAACCCUUAAGCUUAGUUGCCAUCAUUAAGUUGGGCACUCUAAGUUGACUGCCGGUGACAAACCGGAGGAAGGUGGGGAUGACGUCAAAUCAUCAUGCCCCUUAUGAUUUGGGCUACACACGUGCUACAAUGGCUGGUACAACGAGUCGCGAGUCGGUGACGGCAAGCUAAUCUCUUAAAGCCAGUCUCAGUUCGGAUUGUAGGCUGCAACUCGCCUACAUGAAGUCGGAAUCGCUAGUAAUCGCGGAUCAGCACGCCGCGGUGAAUACGUUCCCGGGCCUAGUACAC